UACGUAGGGUGCGAGCGUUAAUCGGAAUUACUGGGCGUAAAGCGUGCGCAGGCGGUUCGUUGUGUCGGUGGUGAAAGCCCCGGGCUUAACCUGGGAAUGGCCAUGGAAACUGGCGAACUAGAGUGUGGCAGAGGGGGGUGGAAUUCCGCGUGUAGCAGUGAAAUGCGUAGAGAUGCGGAGGAACACCGAUGGCGAAGGCAGCCCCCUGGGCUAGCACUGACGCUCAGGCACGAAAGCGUGGGGAGCAAACAGG
RNAcentral lists this ribosomal RNA (253 nucleotides) under uncultured bacterium. RNAcentral's name for it is "partial 16S ribosomal RNA". It matches the Rfam family "Bacterial small subunit ribosomal RNA", at positions 524 to 776 of the family's 1533-position model. The record is from RNAcentral.